This 267-nucleotide ribosomal RNA is filed under the name uncultured bacterium. RNAcentral's name for it is "partial 16S ribosomal RNA". It matches the Rfam family "Bacterial small subunit ribosomal RNA", at positions 89 to 354 of the family's 1533-position model. The record is from RNAcentral.
CUUUAAGUGGCGGACGGGUGAGUAACACGUGAGUAACCUACCUUUCAAAGGGGGAUAACGUCUGGAAACGGACGCUAAUACCGCAUAAUACUAUUUGAGGGCAUCCUUGGAUAGUCAAAGGAGAAAUCCGAUGGGAGAUGGACUCGCGGCUGAUUAGAUAGUUGGCGGGGUAGAGGCCCACCAAGUCGACGAUCAGUAGCCGGACUGAGAGGUUGAACGGCCACAUUGGGACUGAGACACGGCCCAGACUCCUACGGAAGGCAGCAG